Molecule: ribosomal RNA, 201 nt
Filed under: uncultured bacterium
Lineage: Bacteria
Description: partial 16S ribosomal RNA
Rfam family: Bacterial small subunit ribosomal RNA
Source: RNAcentral
UUCGGACUGGAGUCUGCAACCCGACUCCACGAAGCUGGAUUCGCUAGUAAUCGCGCAUCAGCCACGGCGCGGUGAAUACGUUCCCGGGCCUUGUACACACCGCCCGUCAAGCCAUGGGAGCCGGGGGUACCUGAAGUGCGUAACCGCGAGGAGCGCCCUAGGGUAAAACUGGUGACUGGGGCUAAGUCGUAACAAGGUACC